UUAAGCGACUAAGCGUACACGGUGGAUGCCUAGGCAGUCAGAGGCGAUGAAGGGCGUGCUAAUCUGCGAAAAGCGUCGGUAAGGUGAUAUGAACCGUUACAACCGGCGAUACCCGAAUGGGGAAACCCAGUGUGUUUCGACACACUAUCAUGUCAUGAAUACAUAGUGGCAUGAGGCGAACCGGGGGAACUGAAACAUCUAAGUACCCCGAGGAAAAGAAAUCAACCGAGAUUCCCCCAGUAGCGGCGAGCGAACGGGGAGCAGCCCGGAGUCUGAAUCAGCUUGUGUGUUAGUGGAAGCGUCUGGAAAGUCGCAGGGUACAGGGUGAUACUCCCGUACACUAAAACGCACAGGUUGUGAACUCGAAGAGUAGGGCGGGACACGUGGUAUCCUGUCUGAAUAUGGGGGGACCAUCCUCCAAGGCUAAAUACUCCUGACUGACCGAUAGUGAACCAGUACCGUGAGGGAAAGGCGAAAAGAACCCCGGCGAGGGGAGUGAAAAAGAACCUGAAACCGUGUACGUACAAGCAGUAGGAGCCCACUUGUUGGGUGACUGCGUACCUUUUGUAUAAUGGGUCAGCGACUUAUAUUCUGUAGCAAGGUUAACCGUAUAGGGGAGCCGCAGGGAAACCGAGUCUUAACUGGGCGUUAAGUUGCAGGGUAUAGACCCGAAACCCGGUGAUCUAGCCAUGGGCAGGUUGAAGGUUGGGUAACACUAACUGGAGGACCGAACCGACUAAUGUUGAAAAAUUAGCGGAUGACUUGUGGCUGGGGGUGAAAGGCCAAUCAAACCGGGAGAUAGCUGGUUCUCCCCGAAAGCUAUUUAGGUAGCGCCUCGUGAACUCAUCUUCGGGGGUAGAGCACUGUUUCGGCUAGGGGGUCAUCCCGACUUACCAACCCGAUGCAAACUACGAAUACCGAAGAAUGUUAUCACGGGAGACACACGGCGGGUGCUAACGUCCGUCGUGAAGAGGGAAACAACCCAGACCGCCAGCUAAGGUCCCAAAGUCAUGGUUAAGUGGGAAACGAUGUGGGAAGGCCCAGACAGCCAGGAUGUUGGCUUAGAAGCAGCCAUCAUUUAAAGAAAGCGUAAUAGCUCACUGGUCGAGUCGGCCUGCGCGGAAGAUGUAACGGGGCUAAACCAUGCACCGAAGCUGCGGCAGCGACACUAUGUGUUGUUGGGUAGGGGAGCGUUCUGUAAGCCGUUGAAGGUGGCCUGUGAGGGUUGCUGGAGGUAUCAGAAGUGCGAAUGCUGACAUAAGUAACGAUAAUGCGGGUGAAAAACCCGCACGCCGGAAGACCAAGGGUUCCUGUCCAACGUUAAUCGGGGCAGGGUGAGUCGACCCCUAAGGCGAGGCCGAAAGGCGUAGUCGAUGGGAAACAGGUUAAUAUUCCUGUACUUGGUGUUACUGCGAAGGGGGGACGGAGAAGGCUAUGUUGGCCGGGCGACGGUUGUCCCGGUUUAAGCGUGUAGGUGUGUGUUCCUGGUAAAUCCGGUUCACUUUAACACUGAGGCGUGAUGACGAGGCACUACGGUGCUGAAGUGACAAAUGCCCUGCUUCCAGGAAAAGCCUCUAAGCAUCAGGUAACAUCAAAUCGUACCCCAAACCGACACAGGUGGUCAGGUAGAGAAUACCAAGGCGCUUGAGAGAACUCGGGUGAAGGAACUAGGCAAAAUGGUGCCGUAACUUCGGGAGAAGGCACGCUGAUGGUAGGUGAAGUGACUUGCUCAUGGAGCUGAAAUCAGUCGAAGAUACCAGCUGGCUGCAACUGUUUAUUAAAAACACAGCACUGUGCAAACACGAAAGUGGACGUAUACGGUGUGACGCCUGCCCGGUGCCGGAAGGUUAAUUGAUGGGGUUAUCCUCACGGAGAAGCUCUUGAUCGAAGCCCCGGUAAACGGCGGCCGUAACUAUAACGGUCCUAAGGUAGCGAAAUUCCUUGUCGGGUAAGUUCCGACCUGCACGAAUGGCGUAAUGAUGGCCAGGCUGUCUCCACCCGAGACUCAGUGAAAUUGAACUCGCUGUGAAGAUGCAGUGUACCCGCGGCAAGACGGAAAGACCCCGUGAACCUUUACUAUAGCUUGACACUGAACACUGGUCCUUGAUGUGUAGGAUAGGUGGGAGGCUUUGAAGUGUGGACGCCAGUCUGCAUGGAGCCAUCCUUGAAAUACCACCCUUUAAUGGCUGGUGUUCUAACGUGGGCCCCUAAUCGGGGUUGCGGACAGUGUCUGGUGGGUAGUUUGACUGGGGCGGUCUCCUCCUAAAGAGUAACGGAGGAGCACGAAGGUCAGCUAAUCCUGGUCGGACAUCAGGAGGUUAGUGCAAUGGCAUAAGCUGGCUUGACUGCGAGCGUGACGGCGCGAGCAGGUGCGAAAGCAGGUCAUAGUGAUCCGGUGGUUCUGAAUGGAAGGGCCAUCGCUCAACGGAUAAAAGGUACUCCGGGGAUAACAGGCUGAUACCGCCCAAGAGUUCAUAUCGACGGCGGUGUUUGGCACCUCGAUGUCGGCUCAUCACAUCCUGGGGCUGAAGUAGGUCCCAAGGGUAUGGCUGUUCGCCAUUUAAAGUGGUACGCGAGCUGGGUUUAGAACGUCGUGAGACAGUUCGGUCCCUAUCUGCCGUGGGCGCUGGAGAAUUGAGGGGGGCUGCUCCUAGUACGAGAGGACCGGAGUGGACGCAUCACUGGUGUUCGGGUUGUCAUGCCAAUGGCAUUGCCCGGUAGCUAAAUGCGGAAGAGAUAAGUGCUGAAAGCAUCUAAGCACGAAACUUGCCCCGAGAUGAGUUCUCCCUGACCCUUUAAGGGUCCUGAAGGAACGUUGAAGACGACGACGUUGAUAGGCCGGGUGUGUAAGCGCAGCGAUGCGUUGAGCUAACCGGUACUAAUGAACCGUGAGGCUUAACCUU
Molecule: ribosomal RNA, 2903 nt
Filed under: Klebsiella oxytoca
Lineage: Bacteria; Pseudomonadati; Pseudomonadota; Gammaproteobacteria; Enterobacterales; Enterobacteriaceae
Description: bacterial LSU rRNA
Rfam family: Bacterial large subunit ribosomal RNA
Source: RNAcentral